UUUCCUUGUCCCUCCCGCCUAUAUACACACCGUCGUCAGCUUACCCUGUGAAGGACUCAUAGUAAGCAAGAUUGGCAUAGCCCAAAACGUCAGGUCGAGGUGUAGCGUAUGGAAAGGGAAGAAAUGGGCUACAUUCCCUAACACAGGGAACUACGAAUGAUACACUGAAACAUGUAUCUGAAGGAGGAUUUAGCAGUAAGCAGAAAAAAGAGCGUUCCGCUGAAACCGGCCCUGAAGCGCGCACACACCGCCCGUCACUCUCCCCGAGCUCAUCAACCCCAAAUACUUAAGACCUAAAAACUGCAAAGGGGAGGCAAGUCGUAACAUGGUAAGUGUACCGGAAGGUGCACUUGGAAAAAU
RNAcentral lists this ribosomal RNA (360 nucleotides) under Caesio cuning (redbelly yellowtail fusilier). RNAcentral's name for it is "partial 12S ribosomal RNA". It matches the Rfam family "Bacterial small subunit ribosomal RNA", at positions 976 to 1533 of the family's 1533-position model. The record is from RNAcentral. Lineage: Eukaryota; Metazoa; Chordata; Actinopteri; Lutjaniformes; Lutjanidae.